AAGACCAUGAAAGACAUUGUGCCAAACAUGGAAGUCACACAGUGCUGAAUAUGAGUGACAGUGGGGGGGGGACAUUAAAUUAGAAAAAUGAUGCUCUUGGGAAAGCGCGGAUGUGGAGAGAUUCCAUACUGGACAAAAAGCAUCAUAAACCUCCUCUUCUGGUGCACAUCCUUCAAGAUGAGAAGAAGCUGUUGCAAAGUCCAUUGGAUUGCCAGUUAUGUGGAAGAUGUUCACCAUCACAACAGUGAUAUAUUCCCUGACUGCAUCCACACACCUCUAGAGGAGAAAAUGUGGCCGAAACCAGACUGUUGAGACGCUGCUGAGGCUGCUUUCGCGGGAGGCCUUCUUCAAGCCUGGACCAUUCAGGAACAUCUAAACGAAGGUCCCUAGCCACCUGUGUGAUGCUAAUUAGUAGGGAUGUGCAGCGGAGCCAGUAUCUGUAACAAUCACUAAUUUAUUUGUAUCUGAAUACGGAUAAAACCGGAAGUAUGCGGGCUUGAACUGGAAGUUAUGUCUAUGGUUUUACAGCCUUUUUCGUAGUUAUCACUGAACAAAUUUGCUGUGUUUAACUGUAAUAAUUAUUUUUUAUGAUUAGAAUAUUUAUUUAAAUGUCUUCUAACAGUCGGAGCCAUAGACACUAAAAAAAUGGACGACGCACCUUCACUCUCUUCCACUGAAGAAAAGUGAAGCCGCCAGUGUCCCAAUAGGGCGCGGAUAUAUUGUGCUGAUUUGGGACCCGAGUCUGCGCUAGUGAGCGAAGUGGAGCCGCGUCCUGCCCACACUAUACUGCCCACCUGAGUCGAUCCCAAGCACAUGCACCUGAACCUUUUUUAAUUAGCCUGACUGCUCUAAUUUUUGUCUGCCGAUUGCCGUACAAGAGGCUUGUGCUAAAAUAAGGUAAAUGCAACUCAAAUCUCCUCCUGAACAUCCCGAAAAAGUUUGUUGGAGUGAACUGAGGCACCAACGAACUUUUUCGGGAUCUUCAGGAGGAGAUUUGAGUUGACAUUUAAAUAUACACAAAUAGUAGAAUGUGUAUGAUGUUGUAUUUUAGUUGAUAUUCUUGCCAAGCUCUGAUUUCUGAGAGAUGCACGGAGAGGCAACAGCAAUGAUUGAUUUGCGCUCAUUUCAUUCAUAAAGUUUACAUUCAUUCACUUCACACUCAUUAUUGUGUAGUGACUUUAGAGUUUUAUGUAUAAUAUUGCGCUGAUCCCCUGGCUCACCUGUUAUCCAGCAAACACCAGGAGUGACCAUGCCAGCCUCAGCCAAAUAUUAUUCAGCAGAAUUAUCCGUUAUAUAGCCAUUAUCCAUGCCUUUCUGAAUAAGGUAUUCGGCUUCGGGCACAGCCCUGCUAAUUAGAGACCUGAUGUGAAGGAAUCUGUGACCAGACACUGCUUUUGUGUUUAAAAAAAAAAACACUGGUCUCUAAAUUGUGUGUGUGUGUGUGUGUGUGUGUGUGUGUGUGUGUGUGUGUGCAGGUUUCAAGUCUCUACCUCUUCAUUAUGAGGACAUGCAGCUGUGCCUGUAAGUGUGAGUUUGAGUGAGAGAAUAAAAAAAGUUUAAUGCAUUUUUUUCUUCAUAAAAUGGGUAAUGAAAUCCCAAUAGCACAAUGCAGAAUGUGUUGGUCUUUAUUAAAACACUACCAUCAUGCACUUAUAAACUCGUGAGCACAGUCCUCAUCCUCGGUGUUCUUCUGAGAGGAUUGCAGUUCUGAUCUUCAUCACUACACAUGAAGGGAUCUGCUUCUUGACCGGAGUCUCCACAGCUCUACUGGAGAUGCAAAUUCAAGUUGAAAGCGUGGAUUGAGACGGACUACUUCAUAACAGUCAUGCAUCCAAUGUUGUAUGUUUUUUUUGUGUCUUUUUUUAAACAGCAAUUACAUUAUGGAUAUUGAUAAUAAAACAUUUAAAUGAGAUGUUAC
Molecule: long non-coding RNA, 1918 nt
Organism: Sinocyclocheilus anshuiensis
Lineage: Eukaryota; Metazoa; Chordata; Actinopteri; Cypriniformes; Cyprinidae
Source: Ensembl